Molecule: ribosomal RNA, 465 nt
Filed under: uncultured bacterium
Lineage: Bacteria
Description: partial 16S ribosomal RNA
Rfam family: Bacterial small subunit ribosomal RNA
Source: RNAcentral
GACGAACGCUGGCGGCGUGCUUAACACAUGCAAGUCGAACGGAAAGGCCCCUUUGGGGGUACUCGAGUGGCGAACGGGUGAGUAACACGCGAGUAACCUGCCCUUGACUUCGGGAUAACUUCAGGAAACUGGGGCUAAUACCGGAUAGGAAUCCUUGCUGCAUGGUGGGGGUUGGAAAGCUUCGGCGGUUUUGGAUGGACUCGCGGCUUAUCAGCUUGUUGGUGGGGUAGUGGCUUACCAAGGCUUUGACGGGUAGCCGGCCUGAGAGGGCGACCGGCCACAUUGGGACUGAGAGACGGCCCAGACUCCUACGGGAGGCAGCAGUGGGGAAUAUUGCACAAUGGGCGGAAGCCGGAUGCAGCAACGCCGCGGGCGGGAUGACGGCCUUCGGGUUGUAAACCGCUUUCAGCAGGGGCGAAGCUUGUGGUGACGGUACCUGCAGAAGAAGCACCGGCUAACUACGUG